RNAcentral lists this ribosomal RNA (479 nucleotides) under uncultured bacterium. RNAcentral's name for it is "partial 16S ribosomal RNA". It matches the Rfam family "Bacterial small subunit ribosomal RNA", at positions 28 to 507 of the family's 1533-position model. The record is from RNAcentral.
GAUGAACGCUCGCGGGAGGCCUAACACAUGCAAGCCGAGCGGUAUUGUUUCUUCGGACAUGAGAGAGCGGCGUACGGGUGCGUAACACGUGUGCAACCUGCCUUUAUCUGGGGGAUAGCCUUUCGAAAGGAAGAUUAAUACUCCAUAAUAUAUUGAACGGCAUCGUUUAAUAUUGAAAGCUCCGGCGGAUAGAGAUGGGCACGCGCAAGAUUAGCUAGUUGGUGAGGUAACGGCUCACCAAGGCGAUGAUCUUUAGGGGGCCUGAGAGGGUGAUCCCCCACACUGGUACUGAGACACGGACCAGACUCCUACGGGAGGCAGCAGUGAGGAAUAUUGGUCAAUGGGUGCAAGCCUGAACCAGCCAUCCCGCGUGAAGGACGACUGCCCUAUGGGUUGUAAACUUCUUUUGUAUAGGGAUAAACCUACCCUCGUGAGGGUAGCUGAAGGUACUAUACGAAUAAGCACCGGCUAACUCCGUG